UGGGGAAUAUUGGACAAUGGGGGAAACCCUGAUCCAGCCAUGCCGCGUGAAUGAUGAAGGCCUUAGGGUUGUAAAGUUCUUUUGCCAGGGAAGAUGAUGACGGUACCUGGAGAAUAAGCACCGGCUAACUUCGUGCCAGCAGCCGCGGUAAUACGAAGGGUGCAAGCGUUGUUCGGAAUUACUGGGCGUAAAGCGCGCGUAGGCGGCGUGAUAAGUCAGUGGUGAAAUCCCAAGGCUCAACCUUGGAACUGCCAUUGAAACUGUCACGCUGGAGUAUCGGAGGGGAGAGCGGAAUUGCUAAUGUAGCGGUGAAAUGCGUAGAUAUUAGCAGGAACACCGGUGGCGAAGGCGGCUCUCUGGACGAUUACUGACGCUGAGGCGCGAAAGCGUGGGGAGCAAACAGGAUUAGAUACCCGGGUAGUCC
This 424-nucleotide ribosomal RNA is filed under the name uncultured bacterium. RNAcentral's name for it is "bacterial SSU rRNA". It matches the Rfam family "Bacterial small subunit ribosomal RNA", at positions 355 to 796 of the family's 1533-position model. The record is from RNAcentral.